Molecule: ribosomal RNA, 434 nt
Filed under: uncultured bacterium
Lineage: Bacteria
Description: partial 16S ribosomal RNA
Rfam family: Bacterial small subunit ribosomal RNA
Source: RNAcentral
AGCGAACGCUGGCGGCAGGCCUAACACAUGCAAGUCGAACGAACCUUUCGGGGUUAGUGGCGGACGGGUGGGUAACACGUGGGAACGUGCCUUUAGGUUCGGAAUAACUCAGGGAAACUUGUGCUAAUACCGAAUGAGCCCUUCGGGGGAAAGAUUACUCGCCUUUAGAGCGGCCCGCGUCUGAUUAGCUGGUUGGUUGAGGUAAUGGCUCACCAAGGCGACGAUCAGUAGCUGGUCUGAGAGGAUGAUCAGCCACAUUGGGACUGAGACACGGCCCAAACUCCGACGGGAGGGAGCAGUAGGGAAUCUUGCGCGAUGGGCGAAAGCCUGACGAAGCCAUGCCGCGUGAAUGAUGAAGGUCUUAGGAUUGUAAAAUUCUUUCACCGGGGACGAGAAUGACGGUACCCGGAGAAGAAGCCCCGGCUAACUUCGUG